CCUACGGGAGGCAGCAGUGAGGAAUAUUGGUCAAUGGACGGAAGUCUGAACCAGCCAUGCCGCGUGCAGGAAGACGGCUCUAUGGGUUUUAAACUGCUUUUGUACAAAGGUAGACCUGAAUACGUGUAUUCAGCUGCACGGACUUUACGAAUGAGGAUCGGCUAACUCCAUGCCAGCCGCCGCGGUAAUACGGAGGAUCCAAGCGUUAUCCGGAUUUAUGGGGUUUAAAGGGUGCGUAGGCUGAUGGGUAAGUUAGAGGGGAAAUGUCCUAGCUUAACUCGGGAACUGCCUCUAAUACUGUUGAGCUAGAGAGUAGAUGCGGUAGGAGGAAUGUAUGGUGUAGCGGUGAAAUGCUUAGAGAUCAUACAGAACACCGAUUGCGAAGGCAGCUUACCAAGCGAUAUCUGACGUUGAGGCACGAAAGCGUGGGGAGCAAACAGGAUUAGAUACCCCUGUAGUC
RNAcentral lists this ribosomal RNA (460 nucleotides) under uncultured bacterium. RNAcentral's name for it is "partial 16S ribosomal RNA". It matches the Rfam family "Bacterial small subunit ribosomal RNA", at positions 338 to 795 of the family's 1533-position model. The record is from RNAcentral.